Molecule: long non-coding RNA, 219 nt
Filed under: Linum usitatissimum (flax)
Lineage: Eukaryota; Viridiplantae; Streptophyta; Magnoliopsida; Malpighiales; Linaceae
Description: long non-coding RNA (LUSI_LNC000244)
Source: RNAcentral
GGGUUCGGGGCGCCGGGUCAUUGUGGGAGGAGGAGAAGAGUAGUCAUGAGGGGUGGAGGUGGAUUGUUGAUUGGGAGGGGAUUAAUUGGUCAUGCAAACAGGAAACGGCGGCGGAGUUGACGGCGGCGGCGAUGGAAACGAAGGUGGUGGCGUGGAGUGGUGUGCAGUCAAGUUGGUGGUGAAAUAUUUAAUUGGGGGAAAUUAUUUUUUUGGUUUUAU